This 95-nucleotide non-coding RNA is filed under the name Angelakisella massiliensis. RNAcentral describes it as "TPP riboswitch (THI element)". It matches the Rfam family "TPP riboswitch aptamer (THI element)", at positions 9 to 90 of the family's 105-position model. Rfam says of the family: Vitamin B(1) in its active form thiamin pyrophosphate (TPP) is an essential coenzyme that is synthesised by coupling of pyrimidine and thiazole moieties in bacteria. The previously detected thiamin-regulatory element, thi box was extended, resulting in a new, highly conserved RNA secondary structure, the THI element, which is widely distributed in eubacteria and also occurs in some archaea. Analysis of operon structures identified a large number of new candidate thiamin-regulated genes, mostly transporters, in various prokaryotic organisms. Lineage: Bacteria; Bacillati; Bacillota; Clostridia; Eubacteriales; Oscillospiraceae. The record is from RNAcentral.
UCAACAGGGGGGCCCGUAUCGGCGGGCUGAGAUUUGGGGACCACCCCAUGACCCUUCGACCUGAUCUGGAUCAUGCCAGCGUAGGGAGUGACAUU